AGGACACCGCGGACCGCCCUCGUUGCCGCCGUCGUCCUCGCGUCUUCGCCGACGUUAGCCGAAUCGUUUGAUGUUGCCGUAUUGGAAUGCCGUCUUACUGUAGAUCGUUUGACGUAGCCAUGCCCGACGGGGCGGGACGGAGCCCGGUUAUGCCGGAAGACUACCAUCUUGCUGCAGAUCGCUUGAUGUGUAGUGGCCCCGAGGGGGCGUAAUAACUGGAAUACGUGUGAUGCAUAGUGCCUGAUUAUGUGAUAGAAACUGCUAAGCAUGGUAUGGGACGUGCCCAAGUGGAUUCUGUCUUAUAAUCGAGACACGCGCACCUGUGAUGCAUUGAUGCAUGGGAAAUCUAUUUAAAUGCUUCGAGUAUGUGACAUGUUCAUUUCAUCAAUUAGUAUACCAAGGCGAGGUAAGGAUGCCUGUGGUUGUUUAAUAAUGUUGCUGUUGAUGCUGUAUUGCCUGGUUAGGGACCCCCGUGCGAGUUGACCUUCUAAGCGGGGCUUAGGCCGUUAACU
Syzygium oleosum is the source of this 512-nucleotide long non-coding RNA. RefSeq lists it as uncharacterized. The record is from RefSeq and is a predicted model, not a curated record. Lineage: Eukaryota; Viridiplantae; Streptophyta; Magnoliopsida; Myrtales; Myrtaceae. The transcript is spliced from 2 exons.